CAGGCGCCUGUAGUCCCAGCCUCGGGAGGCUGAGGCAGGAGAAUGGCGUGAACCCAGGAGGCGGAGCUUGCAGUGAGCCGAGAUGGCGCCACUGCACUCCAGCCUGGGCAACUAAGCAAGACUCCGUCUCCAAAAAAAAAAAAAAAAAAAAAGUUUGGGGGGUGUUACUUAUCUUUUCAUGAUUGAGUUGCAAGGGCUCUUUAUAUAGUCUAGAUACAAGUUCCUCAUCAGGUAUAUGAUUUGCAACUACAGUAUCUUCUCCCAUUAGUGGGUUGUCUUUUCCCUUUCUUAAAAAGCUUUUUUGAGACAUGGUCUUGCUCUGUCGCCCAGGCUAGAGUGCAGUGGUACAGUCGUAACUCACUGCAGCCUCAAACUCCUGGGCUUAAGCAAUCCUCCCACCUCAACCUUCCAAGUAACUAGGACUACAGGUUUGCAUUACCACAUCUGGCUAAUUUUUUAAUUUUUUUGUAGAGCAAGCCCCUUGCUAUGUUGUCCAGGCUGGUCAUGAACUCCUGGGCUCAAAUGAUCCUCCUGCUUCAGCCUCCCAAAGCGCUAGGAUACAGGUGUGUACCACCUCGCCUGGCCUCUCUUCACUUUCUUGAUAGUGUCUUUCGGAGCACAAAAGUUUUUUAGUUCUGGCCGGGUGCAGUGGCUCACGCCUGUAAUCCCAGUACUUUAGGAGGCCAAGGCAGGAGGAUCACUUGAGGUCAGGAGUUCAAGACCAGCCUGGCCAACAUGGUGAAACCCCAUCUCCACUAAAAAUACAAAAGUUAGCCAGGCGUGGUGGCAUGUGCCUGUAAUCCUGGCUGCUCGGGAGGCUGAGGCAGGAGAACCCAGGAGACAGAGAUUGCAGUGAGCCAAGAUCGCGCUACUGCACUCCAGUCUAGGUGACAAAGUGAGAGUCCAUCUCAAAAAAAAAAAAAAAGUUAUUUAGUUCUGAUGCAAUUCAAUUGAUGGAUUUUUUCCUUUUGUUACUUUGUGAGCCUGUUUUUGAACCACAGCUGACCUCAGAGCCCUGAGGCAUCUCUCCAUGCUGAGAAGCAGUUACACCUUACGAUUAUGAGCAUGGACCCUGGAGCUGGAUGGCUAGCAUUCAAAUCCCAGUUUACUUACCUGUGGUCUUGGGGAAGUUUUAUUUAUUUAUUUUUUUUGAGACAGAGUUUCACUCUUGUUGUCCAGGCUGGAGUGCAAUGGCACGAUCUCGGCUCACCGCAACCUCCACCUCCCAGGUUCAAGCGAUUCUCCUGCCUCAGCCUCCCUAGUAGCUGGGAUUACAGGCAUGUGCCACCAUGCCCGGCUAAUUUUGUAUUUUUAGUAGAGAUGGGGUUUCUCCAUGUUGGUCAGGCUGGUCUCGAACUCCUGACCUCAGGUGAUCCGCCCGCCUCGGCCUCCCAAAGUGCUGGGAUUACAGGCAUGAACCACCACACCCGGCAGUCUUGGGGAAGUUGCUUAAACUUUCUGUGCUUCAGUUUCCUCAUCUAGAAAAUGGGGAUAAUGAUGUCUGCCUCAUAGGCUUGCUCUGAGGUUCAAAUAUGUAAAUUCAUGUAAAGUACUUACAACAACCUCCAAAUUGUAUAAACAGUAUAAUUGAUAGAACACAAAUUAUGAAUUCAGUACAUAGAUUUAGCACUGUAUAAAUGCAUGCUGUAAUUAUUGUGGCACUUGCUAUAAUAUCGUUAUUGUUAUAGUAUUUUCCGUUGUUGUUGUACAAGUAUCUUCUAUAGUAUUGUUGCUGUUUAUCUUCCAACUUGGAAGGUGAGUAUGGGCCAGGUGGGGUGGCUCAGGCCUGUAAUCCCAGCACUUGGGAGGUUGAGGAGGGAAGAUCGCUUGAGGCCAGGAGUUUGAGACCAGCCUGGGCAACAUAGUGAGGCCCCUGUCUCUAUAAUAUAAAAAUUAAAUUAAAAAAAAAAUUUAAAAAAGAAGGUGGCUGGCCAG
RNAcentral lists this long non-coding RNA (1935 nucleotides) under Homo sapiens (human). RNAcentral describes it as "HSALNT0261144". The record is from RNAcentral. Lineage: Eukaryota; Metazoa; Chordata; Mammalia; Primates; Hominidae.